Non-coding RNA from Proteus penneri ATCC 35198, 123 nucleotides. The record is from Rfam. Lineage: Bacteria; Pseudomonadati; Pseudomonadota; Gammaproteobacteria; Enterobacterales; Morganellaceae.
UUCUUCUUGUCGGAGUGCCUAGUGUUUAUAAGGCUAUUAUAAACACAGGCUGAGACCGUUAAUUCGGGAUCCGCGGAACCUGAUCGGGUUAAUACCCGCGAAGGGAACAAGAGUGAUUCGACC